This 76-nucleotide transfer RNA is filed under the name Candidatus Didemnitutus sp. RNAcentral's name for it is "tRNA-Phe". It matches the Rfam family "tRNA". Rfam says of the family: Transfer RNA (tRNA) molecules are approximately 80 nucleotides in length. Lineage: Bacteria; Pseudomonadati; Verrucomicrobiota; Opitutia; Opitutales; Opitutaceae. The record is from RNAcentral.
GGCUUGGUAGCUCAGCUGGUAGAGCAGAGGAUUGAAAAUCCUUGUGUCGGUGGUUCGAUUCCGCCUCGGGCCACCA